This 267-nucleotide long non-coding RNA is filed under the name Daucus carota (carrot). RNAcentral's name for it is "long non-coding RNA (DCAR_LNC007353)". The record is from RNAcentral. Lineage: Eukaryota; Viridiplantae; Streptophyta; Magnoliopsida; Apiales; Apiaceae.
CUUCCUCAAGUGAUGAGUACUUCCGAGAGGGCGCGCCCUAGGGAGGGACGUGACCUCUUCAAGACUAGUGAGCUCUUUCCUGAGUAUGUUUGUCUCUUCGGGAGGGCGCGCCUUGUUGGAGGAAAGUGCGACUACUCCUCAUGGAGAAGAGGUGUACUCCUCUUAAAGGUAACACCAUAUUACCUGUGAAUUUACACAUGUAGUAGUCUUAGGGAACCAAAUACUGAGGGAGUUUAGUAUUUACCUGAGGGCGCGCCCGGUCAGGGG